Long non-coding RNA from Clupea harengus (Atlantic herring), 990 nucleotides. NCBI's taxonomy places the organism in Eukaryota, Metazoa, Chordata, Actinopteri, Clupeiformes, Clupeidae. The record is from Ensembl.
CUCCAGCGCAAGGAUUUUUUUUACUCCUCCUUCGUAUUAAAGUCGCCAUUUUGCUUCACUGCCUAUAAAAGCUUCUUCUAUUUUAUUAUUUUCUUUAAGGAGUCGACGUCGUUUCUAUCCUCUCUGUCGCUUGCUUUUUGACAUUUGUGGAGUUCGUUUUUAACGAGAGGGUUGAGGUUAAAGAGCGGGGGCUACGAGCGUGGCUACCGACCGUGACGGCUGUCCGUCCGCAACGAACCCGGCACACGGGACGGCGGCAGGUGUGAUUGCCAUGUAACAUCAAAAGGCACCGAGCGAAGACUAGGCUACAGCCUGACCCCACGUGGGUGACCCGGGUCACCCGGCCACUCUUGUUGGGUGGUUCCAGCUUUCCAGGCAUGGAGACCUCCAGUGGUGCGCGACUAGGGAAGCCCCCCCCAGGGGUGGCCAAGGGCCGGCCUCCCAAGCAGGCCCACCCCCCUGAGACGGCCCGCACGGGCAGCUCGGAAAACGACAAUCACGGUGAAUAUACAACCGCCAGCCUCACACGCACACACACACACACACACACACACGUUAAACACUCACACGAUACACAAAUGCACUCACACACACAAACCCCAAAAACAUACACAUACAGCGCCCACCCCACACCCAAACAUACAUACAGACACACACACACACACACACACACACACACACACACAUUCCCUACUCUGCCUGGCAAGUGUGUACCUUAUCGGCCGAGGCCUCGCCGUAGGCAGUGGAGUGGCAUGGAUUAGAUGAGACUAAAGUGCCGCAGCGAAUGACACCCUUGUCUACAGGAGGGGCUUUGAUGUGGCGGCGCUCUGGUUGCCGUGCGCCGCGGAACUGUACAAUCUCUGGACACGCGUGACACGCCGUUUCUACAUCUGAGAACCUGUGGAGAAGCAGGGGGGGGGGGGGGGGCGUUCUGAACACUACAUCACCCAUGUGGAGGCAAAUUGUCUGUGAAUUAAGCCUAUAGGGGCC